This 472-nucleotide ribosomal RNA is filed under the name uncultured bacterium. RNAcentral describes it as "bacterial SSU rRNA". It matches the Rfam family "Bacterial small subunit ribosomal RNA", at positions 29 to 506 of the family's 1533-position model. The record is from RNAcentral.
ACGAACGCUGGCGGCGUGCUUAACACAUGCAAGUCGAACGGAGUUUAAGAGGAAGCUUGCGAAUCUUAAACUUAGUGGCGGACGGGUGAGUAACGCGUGGAUAACCUGCCUGAAUGACUGGGACAACACCGGGAAACUGGUGCUAAUACCGGAUACGCUCAUCAUUGCGCAGGCAAAGGUGAGGAAAGGAGAAAUCCGCAUACAGAUGGGUCCGCGUCCCAUUAGCUAGUUGGCGGUGUAAGAGACCACCAAGGCGACGAUGGGUAGCCGGCCUGAGAGGGUGGACGGCCACACUGGAACUGAGACACGGUCCAGACUCCUACGGGAGGCAGCAGUGGGGAAUCUUCCGCAAUGGGCGAAAGCCUGACGGAGCAACGCCGCGUGAGUGAGGAAGGCCUUCGGGUCGUAAAACUCUGUCUUCAGGGAAGAAAAAAAUGACGGUACCUGAGGAGGAAGCCCCGGCUAACUACGU